GACAGAGGGUGCAACCGUUGCUCGGAAUUACUGGGCGUAAAGCGCGUGUAGGCGGACCAGCAAGUCAGGCGUGAAAUCCCUAGGCUCAACCUAGGAACUGCACCUGAAACUUCUGGUCUGGAGUAGUGGAGAGGAAAGCAGAAUUCCUGGUGUAGAGGUGAAAUUCGUAGAUAUCAGGAGGAACACCGGUGGCGAAGGCGGCUUUCUGGACACUUACUGACGCUGAGACGCGAAAGCGUGGGGAGCAAACAGG
This 253-nucleotide ribosomal RNA is filed under the name uncultured bacterium. Its description in RNAcentral is "partial 16S ribosomal RNA". It matches the Rfam family "Bacterial small subunit ribosomal RNA", at positions 524 to 776 of the family's 1533-position model. The record is from RNAcentral.